CCGCUGGGAGGACAGCUGGCUUUUGUCAGCCUUUCAGGAGUCGGGCUGUGUUGGACCAAGCAGGCUGCCUGGCACUGCCCGUGGCAGCGGCUACCAGGCAGGCAGAAGCUGAUUUCCAGAGCCGGAACCAAGUGGCCGGCACAAGGGGGGCCAGGUUCUCACAGUUAAGACCAGCAAGCUCACGCAGGAAGCCAAUUUUUGCCCCUCUGGGCCUCAGUUUCCCCUCAGUCCACCUCCCCUCUGACCCCCUCCUGGGCCUGAGAGGAGCACUGGACCUAAGCGAGCCCGUGGCCAUGCCCCCUGCCGCCUGCCGGUGGAACCAGAUGUCCAGCAGCGCGGCCAGCUUGGAACAUGCGGUCAGGAGAACUCCUACGCAUCCUACAGAACUCCAGGUGAGAUGCCCCCUCUCUGAAAAUGGCUCACAGGCUUGCUCUGAGAACCAAAGAAGAACAUACAUGUGUGAACACACAGGCAUGGCACCAAGUAAAAGCCUAGAUUGCCUUGAAGAGACUGUUGGUGCAAUUAUGGACAUCAAAGACAAUUCUGGUAAAGGCUCAGAAGGAAGUGAGGAGAGCUGUAACACUGGAGAUGGCGCAAAUAGCAAGAAGCAGCAGUAGAACCAGGAGACUGACACUAGAUGGUAGGGAGCUGACCCAUGGAGCAAGAGAGCUGAGUGCCUUCGGGCAAGAGGCUUCCUGGAGAAGUGGGGUGCCUCUGGGCACUUACUGGUAGAGCUAAAGAGUUUUGUAACAAUUGCCCCAGCAGGCAGGCCCAAGAGGCCUGAGGGGCUGAGGGUCCGAAGGGCUGAGAGCCCAAGGAACCAGGAAGCAGAAGCUGAAGGGACUAGGAGCACAGGAAGCAGAGCUGCCUAAGUCUCAAAGGGUGGAACCACAGCCUGCUGGGUCUCUAAGGGUGGGGCCAGGCCUCCUUGGUUUCAAAGAGUCAGAGAUCUCUAACAAUUCUAUUCCAGAGUGUGGAGCUGCCUUUCACAAGUGCCAGCGGAAUGGGGCCAGAUCCUCUGCCCGAAGCUGAGGAGGUGGGGCUGCCAUGUCCAAGGGGCAGAAGAGUGGGGCCAGCCAGAGCCAAGGCAGUAGGGUUGCCACUCAGACAGACUAGAAGAAUGGGGCUGCCCAAAUUCGAGGUCUCAGUGGGCCUGGAAGGUGGAGCUGAAGCCCAAGGCCAAGGGGCCUCCACCCAGAAUCUGGAGAGUGUGGCCAACACCCAGAGUCUGGAGGGCAGGGCCACUGCCUAAAUGGUUUCAGAGAACAGAGGAUUAUUUGCAAGCCUUGAGAGCUAAUGUAGUGUGUCCUGCUGACUUGCCUGGUGCCUGUUACCCCUUCUUUCCCUUCAGUUUCUCCCAUUUGUAACUGAAAGGUCUGGCAUGUGUCUGUUCCAUCAUUGUGCUUUGGAAGCCAAGAACUUGUAUUCUAGAGUUCACAGAUGAAGAAGAAUUUUGCAGAAGAUGAGAUUUUGGUCUUGGAGUUGAUUUAAGAUUUUUGGGAUAAUACAAUGGGGUGAAUGUGUUUUACAUGUGGGAAAGGCAUAAAUUUGGUGGGGGCCAAAAGGUGGAAUGUUACAGAUUGAAUUAUGUCCCCUCCCAGAAUGUGCGUCAACUUGGCUAGGCCAUUUUUCUCAGUAUUGUGUGGUUGUCCACCAUUUUGUGAUCUGAUGUGAUCAUCCUGUGUGUUGUAAAUCCUUAGCUCUAUGAUGUUAAAGAGGCAGGAUUAGAGGCAGUUAUGUUAAUGAGUCAGGACUCAAUCUACAAGAUCAAGUCACAUCUUGAGUCAAUCUCUUUUGAGAUAUAAAAGAGAGAAGCAACCUUCUACCACCAAGAAAGAAGAGCCAGGAGGGGAGUGUGUCCUUUGGACCUGGGGUCCCUAUGAUGAGAAACUUCUAAACCCAGAGGAAUAUUGAUGACAAGGAUCUUCUCCCAGAGUCGACAGAAAGAGAAAGCCUUCCCUUGGAGCUGGCACCCUGAAUUCAAACUUCUAGCCUCCUAAACUGUGAGAGAAUAAAUUUCUGUUUGUUGAGACCACCCACUUGUGGUAUUUCUGUUAUAGCAGCACUAGAUAACCAGGACAGAUCAGAAAGCAUUUCCCAGAGCUGGCCUCCUCCCUAAAGAGCUUUGGUGGCAAAGUGGUUAAUUGCUUGACUACUAACCAAAAGGUCAGUGAUUUGAACCCACCAGCCGCUCCGUGGGAGAAAUAUGUGGCAGUCUGCUUCCAUAAAGAUUACAGUCAUGGUAACUCUAUGGGGCAGUUCUACCCUGUCUUAUAGGGUCCUUAUGGGUCAGAAUCAACUCAAUGGCAAUGAAUUUGGUUUUGGUUUGGG
This is a long non-coding RNA of Loxodonta africana (African savanna elephant), 2331 nucleotides long. RefSeq lists it as uncharacterized. The record is from RefSeq and is a predicted model, not a curated record. NCBI's taxonomy places the organism in Eukaryota, Metazoa, Chordata, Mammalia, Proboscidea, Elephantidae. The transcript is spliced from 3 exons.